RNAcentral lists this long non-coding RNA (692 nucleotides) under Homo sapiens (human). RNAcentral's name for it is "HSALNT0371412". Lineage: Eukaryota; Metazoa; Chordata; Mammalia; Primates; Hominidae. The record is from RNAcentral.
CCUGGAUACAGUGAUGCCAUCAGGUGUGGUAUGUGAUCACAGGCAACUCAGGAACAGCUCUCCAGCCCCAGGACUUCUGCUGGAACCGCUGGGAGUUGGAAGCUUUCUUCCCACUGAGGGGCAAACCUUCUAGGUAUCUGAAGAUGUUGAAGACCAUUUCCUGGAACAGCAGAGGUAAAUGCCCAGAGGAUGAGAACACAUAGCCAUUAGGAGAGCCUGAAAGUUCAGUGUGACUGAAAGAUGAAGUUCAAGAGAAGGGACAAACUGCAAAACACAAGCUGGAGAGUUUUAGAGAGACUGUGGAAUGGAAUGACUCUCCAGAGCUGCAGAUUGAAGGCAUAUUUUCAUCUGACUUUGAUCUCAAUGGCGGGAACACCUUCAUGGCCCCUUUAUAGCUGGAUGAUCAUUUCCUGUUCUCUCCACCAUGGCCACCUGGUCCAAGCCACCAUCUUCAUGCACCUGGAUACCUGCCAUAACCUCAGCUGACCUUUCCUGUGUCCAUUCUUGUUCCUUUGGGCCCAGUCUCCUCGCUCAUAGCAGCAGAAUGAGUCUAUUAAAAAGUGAAACAAUUUCUGUCACUUCCUGGCUCAAAAGUCUCCAAUAGUUUCCCCAUGGAUUGGAAUAAAAUGUAGGUUCUAACCAUGGGGUACCAUGUAAGUUUAGGUUCACCUGUAAGUCACAGGAAAAAAAAA